GGUCAAGCUACAAAGGGCUAACGGUGGAUACCUAGGGACACAGAGGCGAAGAAGGACGUGGUGACCGACGAAAUGCCUCGGGGAGCUGGAAACAAGCAAUGAGCCGAGGGUGUCCGAAUGGGGCAACCCAAUCAGAACGACCUGCUGAAUAUAUAGGCAGGAGCGAGCCAACUCAGCCAACUGAAACAUCUUAGUAGCUGAAGGAAGAGAAAGCAAACAGCGAUUCCCCUAGUAGCGGCGAGCGAAGCGGGAACAGCCUAAACCAAUUACCAAGGUAGUUGGGGUAGUGGGACAGUCACAACGGAAGAGGAAAAUUAGACGAAGCAGUUGAAAGCUGCACCAGAGGAGGUGAAAGUCCUGUAGUCGAAAAUGGAACUUACCAGACUCAAUCCCGAGUAGCACGGAGCCCGUGGAAUUCCGUGUGAAUCAGCGAGGACCACCUCGUAAGGCUAAAUACUCCUGUGUCACCGAUAGCGAAACAGUACCGUGAGGGAAAGGUGAAAAGAACCCCGGCGAGGGGAGUGAAAUAGAAUAUGAAACCGUUAGCCUACAAGCAAUGGAAGGACGAUUAAACGUCUAACCGUGUGCCUGUUGAAGAAUGAGCCGGCGACUUACAGCUAGUGGCAGGUUAAGAGGAAGUACUCGAAGCCAGAGUGAAAGCGAGCCUGAAGUAGGGCGAAAUAAAUGUCACUAGUUGUAGACCCGAACCUGGGUGAUCUAACCAUGUCCAGGAUGAAGCUUGGGUAAAGCCAAGUGGAGGUCCGAACCGACUGGCGUUGAAAAGCCAGCGGAUGAGGUGUGGUUAGGGGUGAAAUGCCAAUCGAACCCAGAGCUAGCUGGUUCUCCUCGAAAUGCGUUUAGGCGCAGCGGCAAGAAAAACUGAUUGAGGGGUAAAGCACUGUUUCGCUGCGGGCUGCGAGAGCGGUACCAAAGUGAGACAAACUCAGAAUACUCAAUCAAAGGUUGCCAGUGAGACGGUGGGGGAUAAGCUUCAUCGUCGAAAGGGAAACAGCCCAGACCACCAGCUAAGGUCCCCAAGUAGGCACUAAGUGAUUAAGGAGGUGGGAGUGCCUAGACAACCAGGAGGUUUGCUUAGAAGCAGCAAUCCUUGAAAGAGUGCGUAAUAGCUCACUGGUCUAGCGCCCCUGCGCCGAAAAUGAACGGGGCUAAGUGUCUCACCGAAGCUGUGGACUUGUAUGUAUGUACAAGUGGUAGAGGAGCGUUCUGUAGCGGGAGAAGCAUUAGCGGCAAGCAGAUGUGGACGAUACAGAAGUGAGAAUGUCGGCUUAAGUAGCGAAAAUAUAUGUGAGAAUCAUAUACCCCGAAAGCCCAAGGGUUUCUUCGGAAGGCUCGUCCGCGAAGAGUUAGUCGGGACCUAAGGCGAGGCCGAAAGGCGUAGUCGAUGGACACAGGGUGAAUAUUCCCUGACUGCUAGAUGGGAGCCAACAACGGGACGCAUGAGAAAUAACCACGCCCUGAAUGGAUUGGGAGGAGUCUAAGGACUCCGAGUGGUAAAGGUAGUGUCAAGAAAAGCGGUGUUGGCGUUGAAGAUUUAGUACCCGUACCCGAAACCGACACAGGUGGGCAGGUAGAGAAUACUAAGGGGCGCGAGAUAACUCUCUCUAAGGAACUCGGCAAAAUGACCCCGUAACUUCGGGAGAAGGGGUGCCACCGAGAGGUGGUUGCAAUAAAGAGGCCCAGGCGACUGUUUACCAAAAACAUAGGUCUCUGCCAACUCGAAAGAGGAAGUAUAGGGGCUGACGCCUGCCCAGUGCCGGAAGGUUAAGGAAGUCGGUCAGGAGCGUUCGCGUUCUAAAGCUGGCGACUGAAGCCCCGGUGAACGGCGGCCGUAACUAUAACGGUCCUAAGGUAGCGAAAUUCCUUGUCGGGUAAGUUCCGACCCGCACGAAAGGCGUAACGAUCUGGGCGCUGUCUCGGAGAGAGGCUCGGCGAAAUAGGAUUGUCUGUGAAGAUACGGACUACCUACACUUGGACAGAAAGACCCUAUGAAGCUUUACUAUAGCCUGGAAUUGGGUUCGGGCUUCCCUUGCGCAGAAUAGGUGGGAGACGUAGAAAUUAUCCUUGUGGGGGUAAUGGAGUCGCAAUGUGAGAUACCACUCUAGGGAGGCUAGAAUUCUAACUGGCUGCCAUAAUCUGGCAGCAGAACAGUUUCAGGUGGGUAGUUUGACUGGGGCGGUCGCCUCCAAAAAGGUAACGGAGGCGCACAAAGGUUCCCUCAGGCUGGAUGGAAAUCAGCCACAGAGUGCAAAGGCAGAAGGGAGCUUGACUGCGAGAGAGACAACUCAAGCAGGGUGGAAACACGGUCUUAGUGAUCCGACGGUGCUGCGUGGAAAGGCCGUCGCUCAACGGAUAAAAGUUACUCUAGGGAUAACAGGCUGAUCUCCCCCAAGAGUUCACAUCGACGGGGAGGUUUGGCACCUCGAUGUCGGCUCAUCGCAACCUGGGGCUGAAGUAGGUCCCAAGGGUUGGGCUGUUCGCCCAUUAAAGCGGUACGUGAGCUGGGUUCAGAACGUCGUGAGACAGUUCGGUCCAUAUCCGGUGUAGGCGCAAGAGUAUUGAGAGGAGUCUUCCUUAGUACGAGAGGACCGGGAAGAACGCACCGCUGGUGUACCAGUUAUCGUGCCAACGGUAGACGCUGGGUAGCCAAGUGCGGAGAGGAUAACCGCUGAAAGCAUCUAAGUGGGAAGCCCACCUCAAGAUGAGUACUCUGUUGGAGUAAUCCAGUAAGGUCACGGGAAGAACACCCGUUAAUAGGCGUUAGGUGGAAGAGCAGCAAUGUUUGGAGCCGAGGCGUGCUAACAGACCGAGGGCUUGACCUG
RNAcentral lists this ribosomal RNA (2840 nucleotides) under Pleurocapsales cyanobacterium LEGE 10410. Its description in RNAcentral is "Bacterial large subunit ribosomal RNA". It matches the Rfam family "Bacterial large subunit ribosomal RNA". Lineage: Bacteria; Bacillati; Cyanobacteriota; Cyanophyceae; Pleurocapsales. The record is from Rfam by way of RNAcentral.